Molecule: transfer RNA, 74 nt
Filed under: Candidatus Woesearchaeota archaeon
Lineage: Archaea; Nanobdellati; Candidatus Woesearchaeota
Description: tRNA-Arg
Rfam family: tRNA
About the family: Transfer RNA (tRNA) molecules are approximately 80 nucleotides in length. Their secondary structure includes four short double-helical elements and three loops (D, anti-codon, and T loops).
Source: RNAcentral
GUCCGGAUGGUUUAGCUUGGAUAUAAUUCGGCCCUGCGGAGGCCGAGACCCGGGUUCAAAUCCCGGUCCGGACG